RNAcentral lists this ribosomal RNA (735 nucleotides) under uncultured bacterium. Its description in RNAcentral is "bacterial SSU rRNA". It matches the Rfam family "Bacterial small subunit ribosomal RNA", at positions 28 to 776 of the family's 1533-position model. The record is from RNAcentral.
GACGAACGCUGGCGGCGCGCCUAACACAUGCAAGUCGAACGAGCGAGAGAGAGCUUGCUUUCUCGAGCGAGUGGCGAACGGGUGAGUAACGCGUGAGGAACCUGCCUCAAAGAGGGGGACAACAGUUGGAAACGACUGCUAAUACCGCAUAAGCCCACAGCUCGGCAUCGAGCAGAGGGAAAAGGAGUGAUCCGCUUUGAGAUGGCCUCGCGUCCGGUUAGCUGGUUGGUGAGGUAACGGCCCACCAAGGCAACGAUCGGUAGCCGGACUGAGAGGUUGAACGGCCACAUUGGGACUGAGACACGGCCCAGACUCCUACGGGAGGCAGCAGUGGGGAAUAUUGCACAAUGGGGGAAACCCUGAUGCAGCGACGCCGCGUGGAGGAAGAAGGUCUUCGGAUUGUAAACUCCUGUUGUUGAGGAAGAUAAUGACGGUACUCAACAAGGAAGUGACGGCUAACUACGUGCCAGCAGCCGCGGUAAAACGUAGGUCACAAGCGUUGUCCGGAAUUACUGGGUGUAAAGGGAGCGCAGGCGGGAAAGCAAGUUGGAAGUGAAAUCCAUGGGCUCAACCCAUGAACUGCUUUCAAAACUGUUUUUCUUGAGUAGUGCAGAGGUAGGCGGAAUUCCCGGUGUAGCGGUGGAAUGCGUAGAUAUCGGGAGGAACACCAGUGGCGAAGGCGGCCUACUGGGCACCAACUGACGCUGAGGCUCGAAAGUGUGGGUAGCAAACAGG